RNAcentral lists this microRNA precursor (190 nucleotides) under Prunus dulcis (almond). RNAcentral describes it as "sRNA ncRNA". Lineage: Eukaryota; Viridiplantae; Streptophyta; Magnoliopsida; Rosales; Rosaceae. The record is from RNAcentral.
AAGAAGAGAGAGAGAGAGAGAGAGAGAGAGAGAGAGUAUUAAUUCAAAGGUGCUUUGAUGCUGCUACUGCUCUUGCUGCUCUUCUCUUUAUUUUACAAAUUUUAGAACCACAACUUUGAUGACAGUACAAAAACCUGCACAAGCAGCAGCAACCUUCUCUCUCUCUCUCUCUCUCUCUCUCUCUCUCUCU